This 21-nucleotide non-coding RNA is filed under the name Caenorhabditis elegans. The record is from RNAcentral. Lineage: Eukaryota; Metazoa; Nematoda; Chromadorea; Rhabditida; Rhabditidae.
UCACUCAUCAGUCAUUAGUAU